AGUGGGAUAACUGGGUCAAAUGGUGGUUGCAUUCCAAAUUUUCUGAGGAAUCUCAAUACUGCUUUCCAUAGUGGUUGCACCAAUUGGCAUUCCUACCAGCAAU
Molecule: microRNA precursor, 103 nt
Filed under: Marmota monax (woodchuck)
Lineage: Eukaryota; Metazoa; Chordata; Mammalia; Rodentia; Sciuridae
Source: RNAcentral